GGCGGAAUGGCCGAGCGGUCUAAGGCGCUAGAAUCAGGUUUAAUCCAUAGAUGAGCUCCUAUCUAGUCCGAAAGGGCGUGGGUUCGAAUCCCACUUCCGUCA
Molecule: transfer RNA, 102 nt
Filed under: Grifola frondosa (maitake)
Lineage: Eukaryota; Fungi; Basidiomycota; Agaricomycetes; Polyporales; Grifolaceae
Rfam family: tRNA
About the family: Transfer RNA (tRNA) molecules are approximately 80 nucleotides in length. Their secondary structure includes four short double-helical elements and three loops (D, anti-codon, and T loops). Further hydrogen bonds mediate the characteristic L-shaped molecular structure. tRNAs have two regions of fundamental functional importance: the anti-codon, which is responsible for specific mRNA codon recognition, and the 3' end, to which the tRNAs corresponding amino acid is attached (by aminoacyl-tRNA synthetases). tRNAs cope with the degeneracy of the genetic code in two manners: having more than one tRNA (with a specific anti-codon) for a particular amino acid; and 'wobble' base-pairing, i.e. permitting non-standard base-pairing at the 3rd anti-codon position.
Source: Rfam by way of RNAcentral